Molecule: long non-coding RNA, 338 nt
Filed under: Homo sapiens (human)
Lineage: Eukaryota; Metazoa; Chordata; Mammalia; Primates; Hominidae
Description: HSALNT0205201
Source: RNAcentral
GGAAGGGGUCCACAAGAAAGAUAUAUUGGCUAUUUGGAUUCUCAUCAGACAACUUGCCCCUCUGUACAUCCUUUUCUUUUUCCUGGCAGAAUGAGGUGAAGACUAGAAAAGGGAAAAUUGUCUUUGUUGAAGAGGACCUUUGAAAGCCCUGAAAGAUGUCACUGGCCAUGAUCUAAAGCACUUUCCCAACAGAAGACACCAUGGAUUAAAAUGAGCAAGAAAGGAGGGAGAAGGUUAGAGAACAUGUUUUCCAUGCAAAAGCCUGCAGGACGGGGGGAGGAGCCAAGAUGGCCGAAUAGGAACAGCUCCGGUCUACAGCUCCCAGCGUGAGCGACGCA